This is a non-coding RNA of Vicugna pacos (alpaca), 1507 nucleotides long. NCBI's taxonomy places the organism in Eukaryota, Metazoa, Chordata, Mammalia, Artiodactyla, Camelidae. The record is from RefSeq and is a predicted model, not a curated record.
GUCCCUAAUAACACUGGGACUGUAGGUGGGCUCAACCCUCCCUCCUGAGUCAGGAGAAAAAUCCCUUUCCAUGUCCGCAGCUCCAGAUCUUACAUCCUUGCCCAAAUCUUUGGCUAAUAAACAAGCUUAUUAGUCCACUGGGUUCACCCCAAAUGUCUUGAAACAGUGUAGUUUCCUUAGUGGGUAAGCGUCUUUUAUUCCUGAGAAAACUUCAAAUUAAGUAUAGAGAUGCUGAACCCAUUGUCCUAAUAUUUCUGUGUGGUGUUUCGGAAUUAUCUUUGACUAUGUGAUAUUUAAAGUAUUUGAUAUAUUUUAGAGAAUUUGGCAUUUUAGAGAAUGGAAUUAACUUGUGAUUUGAAUGACAAAUGUAAAGUUGAGUGAUUUUAGACUUGUAAUUUUAAGUUAAAAGGUAUGGGAAUCUUUGGUUGAAUAUAUAAAUAACAGUGAAGUGGUUAAGAUAACUUAUAAUCCACAAUAUUUGUAAGUUUGUUACAUUUAUAAGAGUUACUGAAGUAUGUAGGUAGGUUUUUCAGUGAGAUGAGAAAAAUUUAUAUGUGGAACUUAAACAUACUCAAUUUAUAAUACAUUACAAAUUAAUGUAGUAUUUUAUUAUGUUACAGAUUAAUGUAUUAAAUUUAUAAAUUCAAUUUUAAAUGCUUAAGUAAAUUUAAUUAAGUUUGCCAAUGAGAUUAGAUAAUCAAAAGCUUAGACGUGGUUAUAAAUUGUGCUGUAAUGAGUAGAUAUUUCUAGAGUAUAGUAGGGUAAUAAGAUUUUUAAGUUGAACUUAUAAACUUAAGAUUUUGCAGUUUGUAUCUUUAAUUCAUUCUGAGUUACAGGAGUAAUAACCUGGGAGGGGAGUGGGAAGAGCUUCAUGUUCCCUUUUUGAGGAGGUGAAAUGAGUCUGACCUCCCUUUCUGCACCUGCUCCUGUGCCCCAGGGCUGUCUCCUGAUGCUCUCAGAGCCCUCCUCCUGCGCCAAGAGCUCUCCGCUCAUCCUGUGGGAUUCUACUCAGGCACUGUCUUUUUCCCACAGUGACAUGCCUCUUCUCUUUCCCGCUCACACCUCUGAUGCCCUCAAGACCCUUGAUCUCAGUGCGAAGUAAGGAGCUGAGUGUACUUCAUGUAUGGAUUUGUUGCAUACUUCAGUGAUUAGAAUGAACUCCCUCAAGAAGAGGAUCUGUAGCCUUCAUGACGGACUGCCUCGUAAAGUGCCAAGGACUCCAGAGAAAGGACACCAAAAUAGCUAUAAAGGGAAGGCGUCCCCAGGGCAGCGUUUCUGAGGCUCCUUACCCAGAACAAGGAGGCUGCCGAAGCGAGUGUGGGGCUGUUGGGCUUCUGUGUGAAGCGAGCUGGAGAGAUGGAAGAUGAGACCUUGUGACUGAUGCACACACUCAGCCUCACUGACCCGGUCGGAGAAUAAAAGAUCCCUGAGCAAGUGGAACAUGGACAUUGCAGGGAACAGCAAACACACCAUCAAAGUCUGAGCCCCGUGGAAGCGAUGUCUGAGU